Molecule: ribosomal RNA, 301 nt
Filed under: uncultured bacterium
Lineage: Bacteria
Description: partial 16S ribosomal RNA
Rfam family: Bacterial small subunit ribosomal RNA
Source: RNAcentral
CAGUCGCCACGGGAAUACGUAGGGUGCGAGCGUUAAUCGGAAUUACUGGGCGUAAAGCGUGCGCAGGCGGUUGUGUAAGACAGGUGUGAAAUCCCCGGGCUUAACCUGGGAACUGCGCUUGUGACUGCACAGCUAGAGUAUGGUAGAGGGGGGUGGAAUUCCACGUGUAGCAGUGAAAUGCGUAGAGAUGUGGAGGAACACCGAUGGCGAAGGCAGCCCCCUGGGCCAAUACUGACGCUCAUGCACGAAAGCGUGGGGAGCAAACGGGAUUAGAUACCCGCGUAGUCCCUGUCUCUUAUAC